This 383-nucleotide transfer-messenger RNA is filed under the name Sphingomonadaceae bacterium. It matches the Rfam family "Alphaproteobacteria transfer-messenger RNA". Rfam says of the family: Bacterial tmRNA, also known as 10Sa RNA or SsrA, is named for its dual tRNA and mRNA-like properties. Lineage: Bacteria; Pseudomonadati; Pseudomonadota; Alphaproteobacteria; Sphingomonadales; Sphingomonadaceae. The record is from RNAcentral.
UCACUUCACAUUAAGCCUCGAAUCGCUAUAUGGGAUCUGCCGGUUUCGACCGGAUAUGGCGAUAAAUGGCGCUGUGUAAUAGGUACAACGGACCCGGGGGCAGUACCCGGCGGCUCCACCAUNACCCGCUGUUAANGGGCGGUUUUUGACGGGGCCGAACUAGGAUCGACGUGUGCUGAAAGACAGUGUUUUNGCCCGGGCUGAGUACCCCGUAAAACUGUUCACAACACACAAGUGCCAAUGACAAUGAAGCACUCGCUCUUGCUGCGUAAUCUGANGGCCUAACGGCCUGAUCUUACAAAGCUAAAGCGCGGUCGGACCCACCGGGCAACAGAAGCGGAUUCCGGGGNNCNGGGGGUAGCCUAGCAACAGAANCCCCCACC